CCAGGUCGUCCUCCUCUGGUACUCCUCUCUUCCGGUGAGUGCAUCCCUUCCCCUGGAUUCAUCCUCUCUUUCUCUCCCCCUUCCUCUAACCUCUAUUUUUUCUCCUCUUGUAGACGUGCAGGGAGGAACAGGCUGCGUAUGAACUCCAUCGUGACGCUACUGACGGUGAUAUCAAUGGACGAGAUGUGCCUCGGCGUCGACGAGCAUGCACUGAGGCGGGAAGUGGAAAAGGAAUACAUCGCCAAGCGAACUCAAUGGUACGAUGCUGGAGGUGGAAGACGUGGCCAACAUGGCGCUGUAUGUCGAGUCGGACGAGGCUAGGUAUGUGACCAUGACUUGGACUUCGAACUAUCCCUGGGAGUUAAGGCUGAACCUUCUACCUGUGUGUUGCAUAACCACGACUAGACAUGUGAAUAUAUCCAAUGCGACCUCACCCAAAAAGCAUCAAGAUAAUUGAUCAACCUGAAACUAUGGAUUUAGUAACCUCUUCGUUCUGUCAGUUUUCUUGAUUAUCUAUGUCUGCCUGCUGCUUAGAUUAAAAGCAUUUGUUUGGCAGUGGCGGAGCGUGGCAAGAAGUGAAGAAACCAAGAGGGGGCCAUUUUUUUAAAAACAAAAUACGCAUUACUAGGAGCAGUGUGAGCUGAUGGUUCAUUCUUUUUCAACACUGCUCACAAACAGAAGUAGACGAGUAUAUGGAGGUGUUAUUUUUCAACCGGAAGUAUAGCUGCUACUCACGUAUGCAAGAACGACAGACAAAUUAUUUCCAGCCAUAAUUCAAGAAAACCAAGACUGUAAUGGAGUAUAGAAUAAAAGCAUGCAAAAUGAGUACUUCGGAGUCAUGCGUUGUGGAUCAAGGCAUUGACACAGCCGACCCGCCGGCAGCGACAUGCCUCGUCGAUCAAAGGCAUUGGCACAGCCAACCGGCCUGCAGCAAUGUCGAGCACGACGGUCACCACGUCGCGGCCUGAGGGACAUUCUCAAUGUGUUGAUCUCGCAGCCGAAGGAGCAGAGACAAUUGGUGCGGCACAAGGUCGCGACCGCGACGACCCUGCAGCCCGCGCACACGAGGUCAAGGGCUCGAUGCAGGACUCAUUGCCGAUACUGGAGGAGGCGCCAUGGCAGCACCAAUAGGUCUUGCAGCAUGCUACACGGUAUUGCUCCGGCCAUCUCUGGCCAUGGAUAUGCCAUCAAUUGCAGGUUUCCUGCUUGCUACGGUGCACUGCAGGUCAUCUUUGUUUCUCAUACCAAUGGUCACACUCACAGCCACCGUGUUGCAGCCCCUUUUGGCCUCCAUGAGGCUCCGCCAGUGUCGUGUCGUAUCAUAGGGAAGGUUGCAUAUACGGACAAUCGCCACAUGCACAACACCAGUCACUGACUUAAACACAUGUCCAGAACUAAUGCCAAACAUGGAUAAAUCCAUAUCUUGAAUCUUAUGUUCUUAAACAGCAACCAUGCAUGUAAGGACAAGCCAUGUAAAUAGGAUUCAGUCAUAUUCUAAUAUGUUUUAUCCUUUUUUAUAAUUGUAAUUUUUUUGAUGUCAAUUAUUCUUUACUGUAGGUAGCUCUCAAACUGCGCAGAGUCAAGAUUGAUGCUAUGGUACCAUUAAUGAUUCCAGCUGAAGAUAUUUGCAACCUGAAGUGUUACACAAGUUUACUAUUGUGCCAAUGUGUCAUCAUGUGUUUCCAUGAUUUUUGCAAACCUUUAAUAUAUCCCCGGGUUCCUUUUCUUCUAUGCUAGAAUUGGUUUGGAAAAACUGUAUGCAACUAUGGCCAUGAAAUUGUAUUAAGAAUUAUGCAAGGAGUGAGUCAUCAUUUCUUGAAUGGGUUUGCAGUUCUAGCUCUUUGUAUACCACACAAUAUUGUGUCAUGUCUUGAUAUUAUUAUAACUUUAAUAUGGUCCAAACACACACAACUUCCUACAGAAAACUUACUAUGAAUUUUCUUUUGGCAACGUUUAUGAAACACAAAUGAAGUAAGAUGCCAGAAAUCAAUUGAAGAAAUUGAUGGAAAUUAGUAGAAAAUUAUCUUUCUAACAUUUCAGUAUUAGCAAACUGAUUCUAAUGAGAAUAGUAGAUUUGUAUACGCCAUACAGUAGGGUGUGGAUUCAUUCCUUAAGGCUGGCUUAUAAUUAUGUUCUAAUUAUAGUUUCUGUGUCAGCCCAUUCUCAUUCAUUGUAUACUUUUAAUGAUAACAGAGCGGCUUCUUUUAUAAAUUCUUAGCUUCUUUUAUAGAUUCUUAGUUACUCAUGUAUGCAGGUCAGCAUCAAGGCUAUGAAGCGAAAGAUCAGACAAAGGUUUUUGCCAUGUUUGUCCUUCAGCUUAGUAACUGUACGUCUAGUUCUUUCCCCUAUUGUAGUCCUUUUAUUUGCACCGUACUUCUUGAAAGAUGAUAACUUGCAAUCAUUAUUGUAGAGUGGCCGUGCUUCUAUUUAUAUUUCUGAAAUAAACUGAAAUUUCAUUUGCAUCUCUAUAACUUCAUUUUGUUAAUAAAAAGGUUUGAUUAAUAAGCAGUGCAAUUACAUGGCUUUAUCCUUAUUUCCCAUUGUAUCAUGUCUCCACUUCUAUCUAACAGGGAUCGUAGCUCUUGCUAUAGUUGUAAGUUGUGAUCUUAAAUGUAUUUUUUUUUGAUAUCGUGAUCCUAAAUGUAAACUUGAUGGUGCUGAAAUUACAAAUGAAUUCUCGGCAGUGCAUGUUGAUAUGGCACUUGUGAAAACUGAAGAUUUGGUACGGAGUCGUAAAACGUGUAAUAUUCUCGGUAAUGCAGAAAAACAAAGAUUGCAUUGCCUUCAACCUUUGUACGUGACAUAUCGUGCCUAUAUCACUACUUGCAUCAUGUCAAUGCAUUCUGUGUUAACAAUUCAUUUUGUUAUUUUCUUUGUAGAUUCAAAAGAUAUAUGGCUGAUUAUAUGGUUGCGUGGCAAGAAUACUGCAAUGAUGAUGAUGGUGUUCUACUGUUCUGGUUCAUGAUGAUGAUGAUAAUGACGACAGAUGCUUUUAGUUGUAGCUAAGUUGUAGGGAUGUUGUUCCUGUUGGAUGAUGUUCGUGUUCCUCAGUUAAGUUUUUGUUAAGUUGUAGGGAUGUUGAUGGAUGCUUUCAGUUUAAGUUUUAAUGUCAAGAAAAUAUUUAGAUUAUGUAUCACAAUUGGAUGAAGUUCCUCAUGUAAUAUCUACUAUUGUAAUCCAGCAGUUCUAUCCAAUAUAUGAUUUCGGAUUUCGUCCUGUGUAUAUUCCUUUUUUUUCCUCACUUGAUAUACAUAAUUAUUACCAUUAUGUGGAACAUUAAUUUAAUAGCUGGGAUUAUAGAUAUUCACAUUAUAUAUGUACUAGUCGCAAAUUCUUGUUACCAAGCAAUGAGAUUUGGAUUCCUGUAUAUUAAG
Molecule: long non-coding RNA, 3374 nt
Filed under: Triticum aestivum (bread wheat)
Lineage: Eukaryota; Viridiplantae; Streptophyta; Magnoliopsida; Poales; Poaceae
Description: long non-coding RNA (TAES_LNC015602)
Source: RNAcentral